GAAUUUUAUAUAAAAUUUAUAAUUAAGAUUAUAUUUAAAUAUAUAUAUAAAAUUUUAUAUUUAAUUGGGAGGAUUGUUAAAUUUUACUAACUUUAAUUAAAAUAAACAAUAUAGAUUAAUAAAUUAAAGAAUGGUAAAUAAAUUAAAUAAAAAUUAAUUACCUUAGGGAUAACAGCAUAAUAUUUUUAAAGAGAACAUAUCGAUAAAAAUGUUUGU
Molecule: ribosomal RNA, 216 nt
Filed under: Megalomyrmex drifti
Lineage: Eukaryota; Metazoa; Arthropoda; Insecta; Hymenoptera; Formicidae
Description: partial large subunit ribosomal RNA
Source: RNAcentral